Molecule: ribosomal RNA, 253 nt
Filed under: uncultured bacterium
Lineage: Bacteria
Description: partial 16S ribosomal RNA
Rfam family: Bacterial small subunit ribosomal RNA
Source: RNAcentral
UACGGGGGGGGCAAGCGUUGUUCGGAAUUACUGGGCGUAAAGGGCUCGUAGGCGGCCAACUAAGUCAGACGUGAAAUCCCUCGGCUUAACCGGGGAACUGCAUCUGAUACUGGAUGGCUUGAGAUUGGGAGAGGGAUGCGGAAUUCCAGGUGUAGCGGUGAAAUGCGUAGAUAUCUGGAGGAACACCGGUGGCGAAGGCGGCAUCCUGGACCGACACUGACACUGAGGAGCGAAAGCCAGGGGAGCAAACGGG